RNAcentral lists this ribosomal RNA (449 nucleotides) under uncultured bacterium. RNAcentral describes it as "bacterial SSU rRNA". It matches the Rfam family "Bacterial small subunit ribosomal RNA", at positions 330 to 795 of the family's 1533-position model. The record is from RNAcentral.
ACCAGACUCCUACGGGAGGCAGCAGUGGGGAAUAUUGCACAAUGGGGGGAACCCUGGUGCAGCGACGCCGCGUGGGUGAAGGAGCACCUCGGUGCGUAAAGCCCUAUCGGCAGGGAAGAAACAGACGGUACCUGACUAAGAAGCCCCGGCUAAAUACGUGCCAGCAGCCGCGGUAAUACGUAUGGGGCAAGCGUUAUCCGGAUUUACUGGGUGUAAAGGGAGCGUAGGCGGCAGGGCAAGCCUGAUGUGAAAGCCCGGGGCUCAACCCCGGGACUGCAUUGGGAACUGCCCCGCUCGAGUGCCGGAGGGGCAGGCGGAAUUCCUAGUGUAGCGGUGAAAUGCGUAGAUAUUAGGAGGAACACCAGUGGCGAAGGCGGCCUGCUGGACGGUGUACUGACGCUGAGGCUCGAAAGCGUGGGGAGCAAACAGGAUUAGAUACCCCCGUAGCC